UACGUAGGGGGCAAGCGUUGUCCGGAAUCAUUGGGCGUAAAGCGCGUGUAGGCGGCCAGGUAAGUCCGUUCUGAAAGCCCGGGGCUCAACCCCGGGAGGCGGAUGGAUACUGCUUGGCUCGAGUCCGGAAGAGGCGAGUGGAAUUCCCGGUGUAGCGGUGAAAUGCGCAGAUAUCGGGAGGAACGACCGGUGGCGAAGGCGGUUCUCUGGGCCUGUAC
This 218-nucleotide ribosomal RNA is filed under the name uncultured bacterium. RNAcentral's name for it is "partial 16S ribosomal RNA". It matches the Rfam family "Bacterial small subunit ribosomal RNA", at positions 524 to 740 of the family's 1533-position model. The record is from RNAcentral.